This 784-nucleotide long non-coding RNA is filed under the name Linum usitatissimum (flax). RNAcentral describes it as "long non-coding RNA (LUSI_LNC003276)". The record is from RNAcentral. Lineage: Eukaryota; Viridiplantae; Streptophyta; Magnoliopsida; Malpighiales; Linaceae.
GAGUUUAUUCAUUUACCAAUGACUAACAUAAAAAAUAAGAAAAAACUAUCAAUUGAGUAUUUCAAAUCUCAAUUUGUAAUCAGAUUAGUGAUUUACCAGAAUUCGGACCGUCACAUGAGCCAAGCAGCUCGUGGGCAACUCGGUGUUCGACUUAUGCAAAGCUCGCUUGAAUUAACCUAAAGCCAAGGUAAUACUCGAUUCGAUAGGCUCGCUAGCCAAUCACAUUAAUUUGACGAGUACGAUUAUUUAUUUGCAGCACUGAUGUAAUUAAUGUAUAUUGUUAUUUCCAUGAUGCAGGAAGUGAGGCUCCAGCCUGACUUAAGUGAGGCUCCAGCCUGACUUGUGGCUUUACUCGAAAUCUGUCUGUUUGGUCCGUGAGUACAAAGUAACCAAAAUUCCUCGGUUCGGUUCUCACAGUAUAGAACCGCUGGUACGCUGCUGUAUUUAGGCGUUCAGUCGGAAAUAUAGGAAAUUUGUCGAAUAUCAUUAUGGGACCGGCAGCAGGAUUCAGUAAUGUUACCUUUGCAGUACAUCAAGGUUAAAUUCUAAGGCACCCUUGUUUCGAAUAGAUGACCAAUCCCUGCAUAUUAUUUUGCAUGAUCAAAAGCAAAAGAUUUUAGUUGUUAAUACACUGGGUACCUAUCUGUAACUGUACAUGAGUAGAAUAGUAUCAAUAUAGUGGAAAAUGGUUCACAAUUAAUGAACCCAGAACACAGAUUUCUGGCCGCCAAUUUCUUUAAUAAAGUUCUCAUCCUUUUUCGGUGAACUGGUCGAUCAAUCCGAU